Molecule: microRNA precursor, 106 nt
Filed under: Canis lupus familiaris (dog)
Lineage: Eukaryota; Metazoa; Chordata; Mammalia; Carnivora; Canidae
Also listed under: 1 other name
Description: mir-8834 microRNA precursor family
Rfam family: mir-8834 microRNA precursor family
Source: Rfam by way of RNAcentral
AGAAGGAACAACCCCAGUGUCAGGGGCCAGCUCUGCAGCCCUGGAGUCAGCUCCCGCAGUAACUCUGGAGCUCUCCGUCUGCAGGGCCUGGAGGCUCCGGGGCGGG